Molecule: long non-coding RNA, 1690 nt
Organism: Zophobas morio
Lineage: Eukaryota; Metazoa; Arthropoda; Insecta; Coleoptera; Tenebrionidae
Exons: 4
Source: RefSeq, a predicted model, not a curated record
GCACGCUUUGCCAGUAAAAACCAAUGACGGCUUUCGUGUUAUAUAUAAACCACAUGGUCACUUUUGUCGCCCUACACUUUUGAUUAUGCUCGCUCUGUUAAUAAGAAGGGCGUUAAGUUUGCUAAACUUUUUAACAAGGAAUACUACGGAAACCGUUUUCCCUUUUUGGACUUACCACUGUUUUCGUCUUAUUUAAACACACGCAUUAUAUUCAGAGGGAACUUCCAAUUCUUAAAUUUAUACUAUGUUCAUACUGACCUCUCUUCAUUUCUACAUAUAUGCUUGAUAGCAAACUUCUUAUCGGCGCUUGCUUUCUAAACUUGUUUCCUCUUGGUAGACCACACUGCACUUAAAUUAAACUGCUUUCUCUUCCAGGCCUUCUUUGCUGGAGAUGUCGCAGAUUCAUUUAGAAAGCACUCUUGGUUUCUGUUCUCUUGAUUUAAAAUUUGUCACUUUUGGGAAGGUCAACUAUCACUAUCUAUUUUAAAUAUUAUUGACCUAGUGAGCGCUUAUAAUAUUGAAGAGUUUCAUAAGUUAAUAUUCUUUGACUUGAUUUGGAAUUUAAGAAGCAAGUCUCUGGGGAAUAGUGCACACGAAGUGCCCAUUGCAAAUCACUUUUUUAACCUUAGCGAUUCCCAGCCUGCCUUUCUAUCAUCAACUUUUACUUAUAUUGAUUCCAUUGCUUUUAUUAUUAUGUUUAAUAAGAGAGGUCGACCUGAUAAUCUUUAUUUUCAACUCUUAUAUUUUAUCCAAUUUUAUAACUCUUUGGAAUUCUUCUCCUCCUUUUGGAAAUGUGCCCCAUCUAAUAUAAAAACCAACUAUGAAACUCACCGUAUUACUGGAAAAUUAUCUCUUCUUCAACUCUCAAAUGUUUUUUUGUCCUAAAAAUAUAAAACCCCUUUCUCUACCUUCAAUGCUUUAAUAACUAUAAUAAUUAAAAGUUAUAAGUUAUACCUAAAAUUAUCUAAUACCUGAACCUUAGCCUCUUCAAAUUUUCGAAGCACCCAUACCCAUUCAAAUUUUUGUAAAAAUUAUUGAUUCAAUUUUUAUUGAUGGCGCUUUUCUCCAAAGUUCCCGCUUGGAAAUUAAUCCACUUUAUUUUUCUCUAUUCUUGCUCCUAACUCCGGUACUAUUACUCCUCUCAUUAAAAACUAAAAGUUCCCUUCAAAAAUCUUGGUCCUGACAACGUUAACCGUUACAGUACUCAGCUAACCUGUUUUAGACUCUACAACAGUGGUUUCGUCCCCAUAACUCUCUAAGCUUACUAACGAGUAUCUAUUAUGGUUACUCCUCCCUUUCCGAAAACGGCUAGAGCUGCGUGAAACUGAAGAAAUUUAGUGUUCCUAAGGGUUGCAAUUUCUCUAUUUCUCAUACGGAUACCCGUACAUCGUGACCUACCCUUUUGCCAUACCAUCGAUUGUAUCGAGCAUUUCGAGAGGAAUCUUGAAAAGCUUACCUUCUCCUGUUGUAAAACGUCAGGUUCCCCACGAUAAGAUACUAUUGAAGGAAUUUCUUUGGAAAGAGGGUUGUAGUGUCCAGUUACUCCCCAAAUCACUUUCAAGUUUGCCGUGUUCAUUUCGAACAGGCCUUGUAUUCCUGAUUCUUCCUCGCGAUACAAUUAAAGGUCUUCCAGAAGAGAAAGUUGACUUAUUGCAAAACUUUAUUUAACUGGACGUAUUAUAAUAAAAGA